UACGUAGGGGGCAAGCGUUGUCCGGAUUUAUUGGGCGUAAAGAGCGUGUAGGCGGCUAGGCAGGUCCGUUGUGAAAACUCGAGGCUCAACCUCGAGACGCCGAUGGAAACCAUCUAGCUAGAGUCCGGAAGAGGAGAGUGGAAUUCCUGGUGUAGCGGUGAAAUGCGCAGAUAUCAGGAAGAACACCCGUGGCUAAGGCGGCUCUCUAGUACGGUACUGACGCUGAGACGCGAAAGCGUGGGGAGCGAACAGG
Molecule: ribosomal RNA, 253 nt
Filed under: uncultured bacterium
Lineage: Bacteria
Description: partial 16S ribosomal RNA
Rfam family: Bacterial small subunit ribosomal RNA
Source: RNAcentral